GAGUUGACCAGACAGUCGCUGCCUGCGUAAGCAGGGGGAGGAAAGUCCGGGCUUCACAGGGCAGGGUGCCAGGUAACGCCUGGGGGGCGCGAGCCUACGACCAGUGCAGCAGAGAGCAAACCGCCGAUGGCUUAUCCGUAAGCACAGGUAAGGGUGAAAGGGUGCGGUAAGAGCGCACCGCGCAGCUGGUAACAGUUUGUGGCACGGUAAACUCCACCCGAAGCAAGACCAAAUAGGUUCCCUACAGGCGCGGCCCGCGCUGGGAACGGGUAGGUUGCUGGAGCCUGCGAGCGAUUGCAGGCCUAGACGAAUGACUGUUCAAGACAGAACCCGGCUUAUCGGUUGACUCA
This 350-nucleotide RNase P RNA is filed under the name uncultured Venatoribacter sp. RNAcentral's name for it is "Bacterial RNase P class A". It matches the Rfam family "Bacterial RNase P class A". Rfam says of the family: Ribonuclease P (RNase P) is a ubiquitous endoribonuclease, found in archaea, bacteria and eukarya as well as chloroplasts and mitochondria. The record is from RNAcentral. Lineage: Bacteria; Pseudomonadati; Pseudomonadota; Gammaproteobacteria; Oceanospirillales; Oceanospirillaceae.